CCUAGCCCUUCAGAGGGGGACAACAGUUGGAAACGACUGCUAAUACCGCAUACGAUCUAACCUCGGCAUCGAGGAUAGAUGAAAGGUGGCCUCUAUUUAUAAGCUAUCACUGAAGGAGGGGAUUGCGUCUGAUUAGCUAGUUGGAGGGGUAACGGCCCACCAAGGCGAUGAUCAGUAGCCGGUCUGAGAGGAUGAACGGCCACAUUGGGACUGAGACACGGCCCAG
This 226-nucleotide ribosomal RNA is filed under the name uncultured bacterium. Its description in RNAcentral is "partial 16S ribosomal RNA". It matches the Rfam family "Bacterial small subunit ribosomal RNA", at positions 124 to 334 of the family's 1533-position model. The record is from RNAcentral.